GACAAACGCUGGCGGCGUGCGUAACACAUGCAAGUUGAACGCGAAUAUAUGAGAAGUGGUAACACGGAUUGUAUGUUUGAGUAGCGGACGGGUGAGUACAACAUGAGAACCUAUCCUUCAAAGGGGGACAACGUUUGGAAACGGACGCUAAUACCCCAUAAGCCGAGAGGUUAAAGCAGCGAUGCGAUGGAGGAGGGGCUCGUGUCCUAUCAGCUGGUUGGUGGGGUAAUGGCCUACCAAGGCGACGACGGGUAGCCGGCCUGAGAGGGUGUACGGCCACACUGGAACUGAGAUACGGUCCAGACUCCUACGGGAGGCAGCAGUGGGGAAUAUUGGGCAAUGGGAGAAAUCCUGACCCAGCGACGCCGCGUGAACGAAGACGGCCUUCGGGUUGUAAAGUUCUUUUAUGUGGGAAGAAAACAAUGACGGUACCACAUGAAUAAGCCCCGGCUAACUACGUGCCAGCCGCCGCAGUAA
RNAcentral lists this ribosomal RNA (477 nucleotides) under uncultured bacterium. RNAcentral describes it as "partial 16S ribosomal RNA". It matches the Rfam family "Bacterial small subunit ribosomal RNA", at positions 28 to 523 of the family's 1533-position model. The record is from RNAcentral.